This 419-nucleotide ribosomal RNA is filed under the name uncultured bacterium. RNAcentral's name for it is "bacterial SSU rRNA". It matches the Rfam family "Bacterial small subunit ribosomal RNA", at positions 917 to 1345 of the family's 1533-position model. The record is from RNAcentral.
GGGCCCGCACAAGCGGUGGAGUAUGUGGUUUAAUUCGAUGCAACGCGAAGAACCUUACCAGGGUUUGACAUCCUGCGAAUCUCUUGGAAACAGGAGAGUGCCUUCGGGAACGCAGUGACAGGUGGUGCAUGGCUGUCGUCAGCUCGUGUCGUGAGAUGUUGGGUUAAGUCCCGCAACGAGCGCAACCCACGUCUUUAGUUGCCAGCAUUUAGUUGGGCACUCUAGCGAGACCGCCGGUGAUAAACCGGAGGAAGGUGUGGAUGACGUCAAGUCAUCAUGCCCCUUACAUCCUGGGCUACACACGUACUACAAUGGUUAAGACAAAGAGUCGCGAGGACAAGCAAAUCCCAUAAACCGUGGCUCAGUUCAGAUCGUAGGCUGCAACUCGCCUACGUGAAGGAGGAAUCGCUAGUAAUCGC